Molecule: transfer RNA, 74 nt
Filed under: Micavibrio sp.
Lineage: Bacteria; Pseudomonadati; Bdellovibrionota; Bdellovibrionia; Bdellovibrionales; Pseudobdellovibrionaceae
Description: tRNA-Gly
Rfam family: tRNA
About the family: Transfer RNA (tRNA) molecules are approximately 80 nucleotides in length. Their secondary structure includes four short double-helical elements and three loops (D, anti-codon, and T loops).
Source: RNAcentral
GCGGGUGUAGCUUAAUGGUAAAGCACCUGCCUUCCAAGCAGGCUACGAGGGUUCGAUUCCCUUCACCCGCUCCA